CCCUACGGGACGCAGCAGUAGGGAAUAUUGCACAAUGGGGGGAACCCUGAUGCAGCGACGCCGCGUGGGUGAAGAAGCGCCUCGGCGCGUAAAGCCCUGUCAGCAGGGAAGAAAAUGACGGUACCUGAAGAAGAAGCCCCGGCUAACUACGUGCCAGCAGCCGCGGUAAUACGUAGGGGGCAAGCGUUAUCCGGAUUUACUGGGUGUAAAGGGGGCGCAGACGGCGAUGCAAGCCAGGAGUGAAAGCCCGGGGUCCAACCCCGGGACUGCUCUUGGAACUGCGUGGCUGGAGUGCAGGAGGGGCG
This 305-nucleotide ribosomal RNA is filed under the name uncultured bacterium. RNAcentral describes it as "bacterial SSU rRNA". It matches the Rfam family "Bacterial small subunit ribosomal RNA", at positions 337 to 659 of the family's 1533-position model. The record is from RNAcentral.